GAUGAACGCUGGCGGCGUGCCUAAUACAUGCAAGUCGAGCGAACGGACGCGAAGCUUGCUUUUCUGAUGUUAGCGGCGGACGGGUGAGUAACACGUGGAUAACCUACCUAUAAGACUGGGAUAACUUCGGGAAACCGGAGCUAAUACCGUAUAAUAUUUUGAACCGCAUGGUUCAAAAGUGAAAUACGGUCUUGCUGUCACUUAUAGAUGGAUCCGCGCUGCAUUAGCUAGUUGGUAAGGUAACGGCUUACCAAGGCAACGAUGCAUAGCCGACCUGAGAGGGUGAUCGGCCACACUGGAACUGAGACACGGUCCAGACUCCUACGGGAGGCAGCAGUAGGGAAUCUUCCGCAAUGGGCGAAAGCCUGACGGAGCAACGCCGCGUGAGUGAUGAAGGUCUUCGGAUCGUAAAACUCUGUUAUUAGGGAAGAACAUAUGUGUAAGUAACUGUGCACAUCUUGACGGUACCUAAUCAGAAAGCCACGGCUAACUACGUG
RNAcentral lists this ribosomal RNA (497 nucleotides) under uncultured bacterium. RNAcentral's name for it is "partial 16S ribosomal RNA". It matches the Rfam family "Bacterial small subunit ribosomal RNA", at positions 28 to 507 of the family's 1533-position model. The record is from RNAcentral.